UGCUGAUCAAGAAUUAACUUCAUUUUCCAACAUUGACUCACUCUGCCUUUGUCUCUUUAACCCUUAUACACCCAUCUGUAUCUGUCUUCCUCUGUUCCUUUCUGUCCUCUUGUCCUUGCUUCCCCGUCCCCACCCCUUACUUGUCUGUCAGUUUAAGUGUUGUGGAGGUCAGGAGUAUAAAGACUGGGAGGUCAACAUGUACCACAACUGUUCUGGUCCUGGUCCACUGGCCUGUGGUGUUCCCUAUACCUGCUGCAUUGCUACUAAGCCUAAUGAAGUGGCCAACACUCUAUGUGGGUAUAAGGUUUUGGAAAAACAGCGUCUGGAAUUGCUGGAA
Long non-coding RNA from Thalassophryne amazonica, 337 nucleotides. RefSeq lists it as uncharacterized. The transcript is spliced from 3 exons. The record is from RefSeq and is a predicted model, not a curated record. Lineage: Eukaryota; Metazoa; Chordata; Actinopteri; Batrachoidiformes; Batrachoididae.